CGAGUUCGAGAUUGGUAAAUUCUUCACCCUCCCAGCCCAGCCCAGCCCAGCCAGACCCACUUUUACUUUCUGUAUUUAAAACUAAUUUUUUUUUUCUGUAUGUAUAUAAUACUGGUCUAAAUAUACGCAGGAAUGUAUGUAAUGGUAGUCCGUGGGUAUUUUGUUCGUACCGAUGAUCUCCCCAUGAUUAAGGUAAAUCCCCAAUUUCAAGCAUAAUCAUCAAGAAAAUAUAAGAUACAUACAUGUCUGAUUGAAACAAUAUCAUCAUCAUCAUCAAGAGUCAAAAACUUUUGAGCAUUCUUUGAUCAGUUACUAAAUUUACCCCUCAUCUGGUGAGCAGAUUAUUAUUAUACCUCCCAAUAUAUACCCUGAUCUGAUCUGGUGAGCAUAUUAUACGCCUUAAUGUUGUCAGCACACUUACUAUUUCUUCCUUUAUUUGUUGUAUUGGAAGUAAAAUUCAGCAUAACUUGAGGAGAAUGAUGGUUUGGACUUGUUUUAACAAGUUAUAGGUAGGAAGAAGUAUGGUACAACCAAGCUUCCCAAACUAAUGACCAGGGCUUUAAAAUAGUGCUUACGAAAUGAUAAAAGGAAUUUAUUAACACUAAUUAUGUCGGUCUUUCAACAAACGGAGCUCAGGCAAUAACAAAAUUAUGGAGAUAUUUAGAACAUGAUAUGUGGUUCUUUUCAGUAAAAGUUGCAGUAAUAUUGGUUUACCUUUACUGGAGUUGUUUCACAACAAUUCAGGCCAUUUUGUCUUUGAAUUUCAGGUUCACAAAAUUGUUGACCUUUCCCCAUAUCCCGAUCGAGAGGCAAUGUGGUAUCUAGAAGUCCUGGAGGCUUACAAACUUUUCUACGGGCCCCUACUUGAAGAAUGAUAGAAGGGAGCAAGGUUGGGAGAGAGAGAGUCACUUCUAGUGUACAUGAUAGAAGGAAUGUAAACCUUAAUCUUUUUGUUUCAUAUGUAGCAUCAAUAGAAACUUAAUGCAUCAGCCAGUCUUGUUACUACUUACUCCAUUUCCAUUACGGUUCUAAUUGCACAGUUCAAUUCAACCGGUAUGAGCUCAUACAUAGAAUUAUACCAUCUUUUAAUAUGGCAAAACCCAAGUUUCAUUACAGUCGAGUUGAGAGCCCAACAAAAAGAGUUCACAUGCUCAUCCGCUUCAUUGGAAUGUCGUACUAUAAAG
This 1184-nucleotide long non-coding RNA is filed under the name Panax ginseng (ginseng). RNAcentral's name for it is "long non-coding RNA (PGIN_LNC007142)". Lineage: Eukaryota; Viridiplantae; Streptophyta; Magnoliopsida; Apiales; Araliaceae. The record is from RNAcentral.